CAUUUCUUAGCCUUUUGAUUAAAAACAAACUGAGGCAGUAGCUAUGUGCGAUUAAAGACUUUGAUUUUGGAGCUCAACUCACUGGAAUGAGCUUGAGUUGUUUAUCUUGCUUAUGCUAAGUGUUGCUUCUAUAAUUCUAAGAGUCGAGGCUUUACUGGGGCUUUACUAAUCUGCCAUCAACCUAUGAGUUUGGCUAAAAGAAGCUGAUCCUUUGAUUAUUAAAGCUUGUUACUGAUGUGAGGCUCCUACAGCCAUAAAUCUAUGUUCUUGAGCCUAGCAUGAUGUUCGAAAAAAAAAGCAGAGGGUGUGCUUGUGUUAUUUUGAUUGAGAUUCUUAAGUUGUGGUGCCUCUAUAUGAUGAUAUGUAAAUUUGACUGGGAGAAGGGGUGGAGGUGGAAUACCUCUUGAAGCUGCGGCUGCUUUGAGAAUUCAGCUCUUAAAACCUCAGCUUUCUUCCUCUCAACUUGCUAUGUUGCUGGAAAAAUUUGAAGUGUGUAGGAGAGUGAUCAAAGGUGGUGUGGAGGGGAUUUUAUAGGCAAGAGUGUGUACUCGUGAAGCCUUAAUUGAAGCUGUUGUAUUUUCUUGUUAUUUUCCUGCAGCAAAUCUCCCUUUUCUUUGAUCUUUUGCAGCCACUUUAUCUUAAUGUAGUUUGGUGCCUAGUUUGGGUACUUGGUACUUGGCUAAUGAAUUCCAUUGUUUGAUUGUGGCUGGUAGAAACAGGUGCUGCAUAGUGUGGAGGAUUUGCAGGAUUGACUUUCCCCUCUUGGUGAGUCUUUGGUCCUCCAUAGCAAAAGGAAAGGUGAGAGAGAAAUCUUGGCUACUACCUAGCUGUACCUCGAGCGGGCCUGGGUUCGUUGUCUGGGCCGACGGGCUGCUCGAAACGGGCCCUAAUUUGGGCCUGGAGAAAAGGCCCGAAGUGCACCCAAAAUUUUAUAUUUUCCUUUCCUUGUUUUCUUUCUUUGAGGACUUUGAUCCAUGUAACCUAUUUUAUUAGUUGUUCAUUUUAUUGAACA
Molecule: non-coding RNA, 1012 nt
Organism: Salvia hispanica
Lineage: Eukaryota; Viridiplantae; Streptophyta; Magnoliopsida; Lamiales; Lamiaceae
Source: RefSeq, a predicted model, not a curated record